GGGGGUGGGCAGUGGCUCAGUGGCAGAACCUCUGCUUGGCAUGCAAAGGGUCCCAGGUUCAAUUCCCGGCAUCUCCA
This 77-nucleotide transfer RNA is filed under the name Sphaerodactylus townsendi. Its description in RNAcentral is "tRNA-Ala". The record is from RNAcentral. Lineage: Eukaryota; Metazoa; Chordata; Lepidosauria; Squamata; Sphaerodactylidae.